UUUAUUUCUGAUUUCUUCAAAAUAUCUUAGUUAUAAAUUCCAGAAGCACUUUAACGUAUCUCAUUUGUAAUUUUCUGCAGUUCUGGAUCUUCGCCACAAUUCAUGAGUUACCGAAGGUUCGUCUUGUACUAUCUCAUAUUUUCUAUGUUUUCAAGUUAUAUGAUUUGAUUGCAAGUGCGAUAUGUUUUGAUUGCAUUUCUUGUUUUUGAUUAUUUUUGAUCUCUCUGUGUA
Molecule: long non-coding RNA, 231 nt
Filed under: Olea europaea (common olive)
Lineage: Eukaryota; Viridiplantae; Streptophyta; Magnoliopsida; Lamiales; Oleaceae
Description: long non-coding RNA (OEUR_LNC008237)
Source: RNAcentral